CCCCCUGUCAGAGCAGAGAGAGUGAGGGGUCCCCCUGUCAGAGUACAGAGAGAGGGGUCCCCUGUCAGAGUACAGAGAGAAUCAGGGUCCCCUGUCAGAGCAGAGAGAGAGGGGGUCCCCCUGUCAGAGCACAGAGAAUGAGGGGUCCCCCUGUCAGAGCAGACAGAGUGAGGGAUCAGAGAUGAGAGAUGUCAGAGCCACUGGAGCUGCAGUAUUCUGCUCAGUGUCAGUGUCUGUCAGCAGAUUCCCAGCAACAGCAGAUUUCUCAUUUCCCCCUCUUCCUGACAUAGUCGUACAUUCCAGCCCCCCCCGCUCCUGUGGCAGUGGCUGUGUCCUCCAUCUCUCCUCUCCUCCUUCUCCUUGAAGAGACUCUGGCUGCCUCCCUGCUGACAGGACCUCUCCUCUUCUCCACUCCUGUAUCCAGUGGCAGCACUGCACUCUCCGUGUCCCUGGACAGCUGUGUGGAAGGCACACAGCGCCCUCAAGACAAAGGACACCCCGCCCGCGCCAUCGCCAUGGAGACGAGAGCCAAGCCUGCCGGCGGGGCGAAGGCGGAGCCAGUAAAGGACAGGAAGGAGCUGACGCCCAUGACGCGCAAACCCGCCGACGCCCCCGAGGCCCCGGCGGCCAGCGACCCACCCGCACCCCCUCCGGAGACCCCUGCCCACGCCGCCGAGGAGGCGCCCAACAGCGCCGCCACGCUGGAAAGCUUGAAGCCCUUCCUGCUGGGGGGGGCUGUGAUCGCGGUCGCAGCCGUCGUCGUGGGCGCCGUUCUGCUGGCGCGCAGGAAAUAACCGCUGCGCUGCCAUCACGAGCAGAGCUGGGCGGACAGCCCGCGGCUCGCUGGUCAGCACACACAGACACCCCCCACGCUCCAGCUGUCUGUUGCCUGCUGUCUCCACACCGCGCUCCGGAGUCCGCUGGCCGGCCAGCAGGGGGAGACGGCCCCUGUCCCCUCACACACACACACACUCACACACACACACUCACACUCACACACUCACACACACUCAUACACACACUCACGCUCACACUCAAACUCUCACACUCACACUUAUUCUCACACUCACGCUCACACUCAUACUCUCAUACUCACGCUCACGCUCACACUCAUACUCUCACACACUCACACCCGCGCGUGUAACCAGGUGAUUAGCUGCACAAUAACUCAUACGGCUCUGUGCACAGAAAACGUGCUCUACAAGUCACGCUGGUUGUCUUAGUAAAUUAGCCUCCAUCCAGUCAGGGUGUCCUCUCUCAGUUACACUGCUACACGAGCACACGAGUGUGCAAGCGUGUUAAACACGAGUACAUGAGUGUGUGAACAUGUUCAUCACGAGAACAUGCACAUGCUCACCCCUCGAAAUAAGCACAAGGCUCCAGUUGGAGCCUCUUCAGGCAGGAGGUGCAGAGAGAGAAGCUGCUGGGAUUUGACCCAGAGGAGCAGCCAGCGGUUGUGAGGGCAACAGUUUCACCUGACCUGCCACUAGAGGGCGACUUUAUUGUGUGUAAAUUAGAUAAGGUGUGAUGCAUUAUUGAUUAAUUACGUCUGGGAGACAAAUUCUAACACAGGGUAAAUGGGGUACCCCAGUCACACACAUUAGUCAGGGCUCUGAAGAGAGUCCUGGUGGCAGCUGUGGGUGAGUUGGUUAGAGUUUUUUUCUUUGUGUGUAAGAAGACACAGUGUUAAACUAAAGUCUUCCUGCACAGUAGAGCUCUUUCCAUUGGGAUUUCUCUAUGUGCUGAGCAAUGUUCCCUCUCAUUUUUAAUGGCCUGUGUGCACAAAAAUGUCAAGUUGUGCAAAUUUUUUCCCUAGUGACAAAAACGUGUGCGCACUGAAUUGAGUGUAUGGAAAAUUGUAAACCUGAAAUUAUUUUUGUUAGUAUAGUCAUUUUCAUAGAAGCAUUGAGAUCCAAAAGACCGGGACAGCGACUCAACGAGCCCAGUCAUAGAGACUGAGUGUUGCGUGAGCAUGAGUAGGGAGGCUCGAGACUACGAGAGCACAGAUAUCGAUUCUCGGGUAGCAGUAAUAAUACACACAGCCAAGUUGGGCCUCUCACAGCCAGUCUCACGUGGCCAAUUUAGCACAUGACUGUGUUUGUUUUAUUAUCGUAUAUUUUUUUAAUUUAAUCUUUUGUGCGCAGUUCAAUUUUCCAGGCUCACAGCUUAGAGGGCACAUUGGAAGCUUCCCGAGCCAGCUGAGAAGUAGACCUGUUAGAGUCUGUUGCUGAGUUUGGCAUCUGAUUCUCCUGGACAUUUCUUAUUUCUCUCUCGAGCCCCUCCUCUCGCUUACAGAUCGGCUUUAUCGAGACUCUCUUCUGCAGCCUCUCCCCUGCCUGUCCUUGUGUUUUCCUCUGUUUUCCUCCCCAGCCUAGCUGGAGCCUCGUGUGUACACCUGUGUAUCUGUGUGUCUGGAGUCAUGUGUGCACUGUGCUCCUUCUGCCUGUAGCUAUCAGCCAGAUGGUGCUGUCAAUCAGCACCCAGCUUCUCCAAUCACACUGGAGGACUGACUCACUUACUGCCCCCCUGGGACAUUACCUGCUAACACCUCGGACCCACCUCGAACCCAAUCACACGGCCUCUACAAACACCUCGGACCCAAUCACACGGCCUCUACAAACACCUCGGACCCAAUCACACGGCCUCUACAAACACCUCGGACCCAAUCACACGGCCUCUACAAACACCUCUGACUCAAUCACACGGCCUCUACAAACACCUCUGACUCAAUCACACGGCCUCUCUUCCUCAGUCUUGCAUCUACCCCAACCCUUCCGCAAUUAAACACAUUAAGACCAGACUGAAAACCUGGAAAUUAAAGACCAAAAAUAAAAAAAUCUCUAAUUCUAAGAGCAGGUGAAUUUUGAAAAUGUAAUUCUUGUUCUUAUCUCAGAGCGUAUAAGUGCAAUAAAUCAGGUAGGACACAACAUUAGCAGAGACGUAUCUCGUGAGAUUAUGAUUAAAAUUGCCAACUGUUAUUUUGAAUAUCAGUCCUCCUGCUGUCAGGGUGAUCUAGCUGUGUUAAGAAGGAAGCAGGACAGCUUUCUACCUGGGUUUCAGGUGAAAAGGACAGAACUUCAAUAACUGGAAGAGCUGACACAAUCAAACCAGCAGCCUUUGUCUAGUGUAGCAGCCCUGAGGGAGGGUGACUCCAGGCGGUAUUGAUCCAGGGAGUGAGUGGGCAGUAUUGAUUGAGGUACAUACUGGGUGGUACUGAUCAGGGGAGAUACUGGGCAGUAUUGAUCUAGGGAGUGAGUGGGCAGUAUUGAUCCAGGUACAUACUGGGUGGUACUGAUCAGGGGAGAUACUGGGCAGUAUUGAUCCAGGGAGAUCCUGGGCAGUAUUGAUCCAGGUACAUACUGGGUGGUACUGAUCAGGGGAGAUACAGGGCAGUAUUGAUCCAGGGAGAUACUGGGCAGUAUUGAUUGAGGGUAAUAGUAGGCAGUAUUGAUCCAGGGAGUGAGCGGGCAGUAUUGAUCGAGGUAGAUACUGGGUACUAUAGAUCAAGGGAGAUAAUGGGUAGUAUUGAUCCAGGGAAAUACAGCGGUAUUGAUCCAGUGAGAUACUGGGCAGUAUUGAUCCAGGGAGAUACCGGGCAGUAUUGAACCAGAGAGAUAACAAGAGGUAUUGAUCGAGGGAGAUACCGAGUAUUAAUCGAGGGAAAUAAUGGGCGGUUAUUGAUUGAUGGAGAUAGUGGAUGGUAUUUAUCCAGGGAAAUACGGCGGUAUUGAUCCAGGGAGAUAAUGGGCAGCAUUGAUUGAGGGAGAUAGUACUCUAGUACUCUGUAUUACUGUGCUGUACUACAGUCUACUGCACUAUACUCUAUUAUAACACACUGUGUUGUACUAUACUGUGCUGUACUAUAGUACACUGUUCUGUAAUGUAUUAUAACACACUGUACUGUACUAUAGUUUAUAGCGCUGUAUAGUAUGUCAAUGCUGUGCUGUAAUACUCUGUAUUCUAGUUCACUGUAUUAUAUUUUAAUGUAUUGUCUCUACCAGUGUCAUUCUAAGCCUAGGGUUACUGUUUAACAAUGUGGGUGUGUCAGAAAAUAAUCUGUACUGUAAGUAACUUAUUAUGACUAUUCAUCUUCAGAGCAGCAUGUAUUUUCUGUAAUUAGUUACAGAAGUAAUUGGUGUCUUUAUUUAUUCCUGUGCUUCUGUGUGUUAGGAUUUUUUUGGACCUGCAUUGUGCACCAAGAGAACCUAAUGGCAGACAAUAAAAUAUAAAAUUGCCAGAAAAAACACAAU
This is a long non-coding RNA of Lepisosteus oculatus (spotted gar), 4250 nucleotides long. The record is from Ensembl. Lineage: Eukaryota; Metazoa; Chordata; Actinopteri; Semionotiformes; Lepisosteidae.